AGAGUUUGAUCAUGGCUCAGGACGAACGCUGGCGGCGUGCUUAACACAUGCAAGUCGAACGGAAAGGCCCAGCUUGCUGGGUACUCGAGUGGCGAACGGGUGAGUAACACGUGGGUGAUCUGCCCUGCACUCUGGGAUAAGCCUGGGAAACUGGGUCUAAUACCGGAUAUGACCAACUGUCGCAUGGUGGUUGGUGGAAAGCUUUUGCGGUGUGGGAUGGGCCCGCGGCCUAUCAGCUUGUUGGUGGGGUAAUGGCCUACCAAGGCGACGACGGGUAGCCGACCUGAGAGGGUGAUCGGCCACACUGGGACUGAGACACGGCCCAGACUCCUACGGGAGGCAGCAGUGGGGAAUAUUGCACAAUGGGCGCAAGCCUGAUGCAGCGACGCCGCGUGAGGGAUGACGGCCUUCGGGUUGUAAACCUCUUUCACCAGGGACGAAGCGCAAGUGACGGUACCUGGAGAAGAAGCACCGGCCAACUACGUGCCAGCAGCCGCGGUAAUACGUAGGGUGCGAGCGUUGUCCGGAAUUACUGGGCGAAAGAGCUCGUAGGCGGUUUGUCGCGUCGUCUGUGAAAUUCUGCAACUCAAUUGCAGGCGUGCAGGCGAUACGGGCAGACUUGAGUACUACAGGGGAGACUGGAAUUCCUGGUGUAGCGGUGAAAUGCGCGAUAUCAGGAGGAACACCGGUGGCGAAGGCGGGUCUCUGGGUAGUAACUGACGCUGAGGAGCGAAAGCGUGGGUAGCGAACAGGAUUAGAUACCCUGGUAGUCC
This 773-nucleotide ribosomal RNA is filed under the name uncultured bacterium. RNAcentral's name for it is "bacterial SSU rRNA". It matches the Rfam family "Bacterial small subunit ribosomal RNA", at positions 8 to 796 of the family's 1533-position model. The record is from RNAcentral.